UGGGGAAUCUUGCGCAAUGCGCGAAAGCGUGACGCAGCAACGCCGCGUGAGGGAAGACGGCCUUCGGGUUGUAAACCUCUUUCAGUUGGGACGAAGCCCUGUCGGUGAAUAGCCGGCGUGGGUGACGGUACCUUCAGAAGAAGCCCCGGCUAACUACGUGCCAGCAGCCGCGGUAAUACGUAGGGGGCAAGCGUUGUCCGGAAUCAUUGGGCGUAAAGCGCGUGUAGGCGGCCAAGUAAGUCCGUUCUGAAAGCCCGGGGCUCAACCCCGGGAGGCGGAUGGAUACUGCUUGGCUCGAGUCCGGAAGAGGCGAGUGGAAUUCCCGGUGUAGCGGUGAAAUGCGCAGAUAUCGGGAGGAACACCAAUGGCGAAGGCAGCUCGCUGGGACGGUACUGACGCUGAGACGCGAAAGCGUGGGGAGCAAACAG
This 428-nucleotide ribosomal RNA is filed under the name uncultured bacterium. RNAcentral describes it as "bacterial SSU rRNA". It matches the Rfam family "Bacterial small subunit ribosomal RNA", at positions 355 to 775 of the family's 1533-position model. The record is from RNAcentral.